Molecule: ribosomal RNA, 518 nt
Filed under: Latilactobacillus curvatus
Lineage: Bacteria; Bacillati; Bacillota; Bacilli; Lactobacillales; Lactobacillaceae
Description: bacterial SSU rRNA
Rfam family: Bacterial small subunit ribosomal RNA
Source: RNAcentral
GACGAACGCUGGCGGCGUGCCUAAUACAUGCAAGUCGAACGCACUUUCGUUAGAUUGAAGAAGCUUGCUUCUGAUUGAUAACAUUUGAGUGAGUGGCGGACGGGUGAGUAACACGUGGGUAACCUGCCCUAAAGUGGGGGAUAACAUUUGGAAACAGAUGCUAAUACCGCAUAAAACCUAGCACCGCAUGGUGCAAGGUUGAAAGAUGGUUUCGACUAUCACUUUAGGAUGGACCCGCGGUGCAUUAGUUAGUUGGUGAAGUAAAGGCUCACCAAGACCGUGAUGCAUAGCCGACCUGAGAGGGUAAUCGGCCACACUGGGACUGAGACACGGCCCAGACUCCUACGGGAGGCAGCAGUAGGGAAUCUUCCACAAUGGACGAAAGUCUGAUGGAGCAACGCCGCGUGAGUGAAGAAGGUUUUCGGAUCGUAAAACUCUGUUGUUGGAGAAGAACGUAUUUGAUAGUAACUGAUCAGGUAGUGACGGUAUCCAACCAGAAAGCCACGGCUAACUACGUG